Leopardus geoffroyi (Geoffroy's cat) is the source of this 1954-nucleotide long non-coding RNA. RefSeq lists it as uncharacterized. The transcript has 3 exons. The record is from RefSeq and is a predicted model, not a curated record. NCBI's taxonomy places the organism in Eukaryota, Metazoa, Chordata, Mammalia, Carnivora, Felidae.
GUUUGGCUUAAGAGUUUUGCUGAUCUGGGGCUGAAAUGGUCUCAUUUUCUUUUACACUCCCCUUAUGACUGGUGAGCCUGGGCGUCUUCUCAUUCGGCUGUUGACUUUGUACGCUUCCCCACAUCAGUUUUCCUGUGGGUGAUGGCGCGUGCCUCCCGCCAUCCCGCACGAACUGCACCCAAGUGGUCCAGAUGCUGGCACCUGAUCCCUCCCACCAUGAAGGUUCCCGUCAACCUUUUAGUUAAAAGUUCCCAUCCCUUGGCCUUUCUCUGAAUCUGUUAUCUGCGUUUACAAAAUGGCGACUGUAGUUCCUGCCACUUUCAUCAGCUAAAAUUCUGCAGUAAUACUCAGAUUUUUAGCGUGCAUAUUUGACGUCAGGAAAACAAGGGACUUUCUGGAGCUUGCCCCACGUACGAACUGGAAGAUGAGAAUGUGAAAGUGGACACUGUUUCAUUUAGGGCUCAGUAACGCUGGCAGUCGGCCGUCAGCAGCAGGAGGAGGUUCUCAAAUCCAAGAGGUCGGAGGCCCGGAAGUGGAGGAGGUUUCACUGCGAAAGGUGCCAGUCAACGGCGCCACGAUACCUGUAGUUCCCGGCGGUCUGAGGGGCCGGAGGCUCUAGGGCGGGGCAUCUUCUCCCGCCUGAAUGGCUUCCAAGAUGUCACUGUUCGGGCCCUCGCUCCAGUGGACACGUGUCUGAUGACUCGGGGUGGGGGCUGCGGGAACAUCCCCAGGUUUGGAGGGACGGCCUCCGACAGCCAGUACGCGCAGCGGCCGGUCCUGCUGCGGGGCCGCUUUCGUAGUGGCGGCUACGUCUGUCCUAACGUGACCGGGAAAUAGCUCCCCGAGUCGUGACACAGCUUCCAAGAUGGUCGCGCGGAAGGCCGGACACUUGCAUUCUCAUUUACGGUCCUCAUUUACGGUCCCGUCUGUCUCGCGUCAGCUGUGCUUGGGUGGCACCUGAUGAGGCAAGAGCAGUUUUCUCCGUGGAGCCAUUACGGAAGAGCUUGCGUCACCACCCGGAGUUCACGUGAUCCUGGCCGUGUCCGAUACGCUGAUGCUCGAUCGCCGGCGAAUCCAGAGCGAUAAAAAUGUACGCUCCACACCCCUGCCCCCACCCCUAGAAAGGCGAUCUAAAAACAGUGUUAGCAACACCCGAGGCCGCAAACCAAGAGCCAGGCAUGAAGGCAGCAACACAUUCAUGCGCUUUGAUGAUGUCGGGCACUGGAAAUGGACGUGACCACGUUCUUUAAGCUUCCCUGCUCUACAGUAACGCCAGCUGCCGGUGGCCAGCAGGGGUGUUCAACUUGAAGCUUUGAAGCUUUGCACGGCACCCCUGGCUCUGUGAAACCUUGCGGGAGAAGACAAUGCACCUUUUCUGCUCCCAGGAAAAGGCAUUGUUUCCGUUGUUAAUGCUUGGCAAGCUUUAUGGGUAAACGCCCUUUUUGGCUUGGCCUCUGCCUUAUAUGAGCCACCCAAAGAGGUCGCAGUGUGUGCAUCGUGCGAGCAGUUUGUUGCAAAAGAGCAGGGAGCAGAGUCCAGACCGAAAAACAAACGUAACGCCCACAAAGCCACACGACUACAGCCAGUAUCUAAUAAAUUUAGAAAUAUGUGGGGCUUCCUCGGGGUGGGGCUGAAUCUGGAGACCCGGUCUCAUACCCGAUUCUUGCCCCUCCUUGUCCUGCCGCUAAUUAGUGCAGUCCGGGUGCUAUCAGCUCAGAUGAAGGUCUUGGCUCCACAGGAGCUGUGAAAUCCACUCUAGGUUUCGCUUCUGCUGUUUGUGCACCCUCACAGCCCCUAGCCGGUCUAGCCCCGCCUGGGCCUUUAAUUCUGUGGGUCCCUGAGCUUUUAAUCAUACAAUAUACGUGUAUGUGCAGGGGUUUUUUUCCGUGGCAUUUAGUGGCCUCAUUAUCCAGGAUUUUUAUUUUGUAGGAAAUCCACGGAUUGUUCAAAUGAA